This 253-nucleotide ribosomal RNA is filed under the name uncultured bacterium. RNAcentral describes it as "partial 16S ribosomal RNA". It matches the Rfam family "Bacterial small subunit ribosomal RNA", at positions 524 to 776 of the family's 1533-position model. The record is from RNAcentral.
UACAGAGGUCCCAAGCGUUGUUCGGAUUCACUGGGCGUAAAGGGUGCGUAGGCGGUCGGGCAAGUCUGACGUGAAAUCUCCAAGCUCAACUUGGAAAUGGCGUCGGAUACUAUUCGGCUGGAGGAAUGGAGGGGAGACUGGAAUUCUCGGUGUAGCAGUGAAAUGCGUAGAUAUCGAGAGGACCACCAGUGGCGAAGGCGAGUCUCUGGACAUUUCCUGACGCUGAGGCACGAAAGCCAGGGGAGCAAACGGG